This 426-nucleotide ribosomal RNA is filed under the name uncultured eukaryote. RNAcentral's name for it is "SSU rRNA". It matches the Rfam family "Eukaryotic small subunit ribosomal RNA", at positions 587 to 972 of the family's 1831-position model. The record is from RNAcentral.
AGCUCAAAUAGCGUAUAUUAAAGUUGUUGCAGUUGAAAAGCUCGUAGUUGGAUUUCAGGAUCAGAGAGAUCGGUCCGCCGUCAAGGUGUGUACUGGUCUUCUCUAUCCUCACUAUGGGAUACUCACCUCUGCCCUUAACUGAGUGGAGGUCAAAGGCAUGGUGUAGGGGGCAACUUCUGCAUCAUGUUGAGUUCUCAUUCAUUUACUUUGAAUAAAACUGCAUGCUCAAAGUAGGCAUAAAGGGCCGCUGAAAGCAAAAGCAUGGGAUAAUAGAACAGGACUUGUGUCCUCGUUUUGUUGGUUUCUAGGACAUGAGUAAUGAUUAAGAGGGAUAGUUGGGGGCAUUAGUAUUUAAUUGUCAGAGGUGAAAUUCUUGGAUUUAUGAAAGACUAACUUCUGCGAAAGCAUUUGCCAAGGAUGUUUUCA